This 1242-nucleotide long non-coding RNA is filed under the name Vigna radiata. RNAcentral describes it as "long non-coding RNA (VRAD_LNC005869)". The record is from RNAcentral. Lineage: Eukaryota; Viridiplantae; Streptophyta; Magnoliopsida; Fabales; Fabaceae.
UUUAGCAAUGUGUACCGGGUUUCAGUAGACAAAAAUACCCUUAUAUCAUGAAUUCUAAGUUUUAAGGUUAGGGUAUUUUAAUAAUUUUCAUUCUCAAAUUAAAAAAAAUAAAAAAAGAAACCCCCAAUCCCUUAUCCACCCCUCUCAUUCCUCUCAACCUUUCUCUUUCAUCUCUUUCACUCCAACAUUUUCUCUGUCAUCCCUACUCUAGCCCUAAUUGAAAAAAAAUCAAAAACACUUGUCUUAUUUUAAUAAUUUUCGUUCUCAAAAUUAAAAAAAAAAGAAACCCCAAACCCUUACUCACCUCUUCAUUCCUCUCAACCCUUUCUCCUUCAUCUCUCUCACUCAACACAUUUCCUCUGUCAUCUCUGCACUAGCUCUAACUAAAAAAACAUUCAUUAUUAAAUAAAAUGGUUAGAGAAAAAAAUACUUACAUAAAUAAAAAAUUAAAGCACCUAAUUUUUUAUUUAUAUAAUUAUAAAUAAAAUUUCAAGAUUUAGAAUUUUUAUUGUUUGAUUUUAUAAUUGAGAAUUUUAUUGUAUUUUGAUUUAUUUUUUUCUUUAGUAAAGGAAAACAAGUUAAUGAAUUUCUACCAAAAAAAUUAAAUGGCCACGCAGCAAUGUUACGUAGUAGUCUCAGAAUGUAAAGAAAUGUAAAGGAAGGAUGCUCAUAAGUCUUGGUGCAAGUUGUGUCCGUCGGCUGUAAUAUAUAUAGUGAAGAUAAUAAAAUUAAAGAGAUUUUGAAUGAACUUUUUUCAAAAGGUGAAUAUGACUCAACUCUUUACAAAAGUAAAUCGUUUAAUAAUGAAUGUUGUUUUAGUUGGGGCUAGUGCAGAGAUGACAGAGAAAAUGUUUGAGUGAGAGAGAUGAAGGAGAAAGGGUUGAGAAGAAUGAAGGAGGUGAGUAAGGGUUUGGGGUUUUCUUUGUUUAGUUUUGAGAAUGAAAAUUAUUAAAAUAAGCCAAGUGUUUCUGAUUUUUUUCAAUUGGAACUAGAGUAGGGAUGACAGAGAAAAGGUUGGAGUGAAAGAGAUGAAAGAGAAAUGGUUGAGAGGAAUGAGAGAGAUGGGUAAGGGUUUGAGGGUUUCUUUUUUAUUUUUAAAUUUUGAGAAUGAAAAUUAUUAAAAUACCCUUAACCUUAAAACUUAGAAUUCAUGAUAUAUAGGGGUAUUUUUGUCUACUGAAACUCGGUACACAUUGCUAAAAUGUACCAACUGAAAAAUAGGCAUACGCAAGUUAGCAAACC